This 356-nucleotide ribosomal RNA is filed under the name uncultured bacterium. RNAcentral's name for it is "bacterial SSU rRNA". It matches the Rfam family "Bacterial small subunit ribosomal RNA", at positions 8 to 350 of the family's 1533-position model. The record is from RNAcentral.
AGAGUUUGAUCCUGGCUCAGGAUGAACGCUAGCUACAGGCUUAACACAUGCAAGUCGAGGGGAAACGACAUCGAAAGCUUGCUUUUGAUGGGCGUCGACCGGCGCACGGGUGAGUAACGCGUAUCCAACCUGCCCACCACUUGGGGAUAACCUUGCGAAAGUAAGACUAAUACCCAAUGACGUCUCUAGAAGACAUCUGAAAGAGAUUAAAGAUUUAUCGGUGAUGGAUGGGGAUGCGUCUGAUUAGCUUGUUGGCGGGGUAACGGCCCACCGAAGGCUACGAUCAGGUAGGGGUUCUGGAGAGGAAGGUCCCCCACAUUGGAACUGAGACACGGUCCAAACUCCUACGGGAGGCA